This is a long non-coding RNA of Hordeum vulgare subsp. vulgare (domesticated barley), 402 nucleotides long. RefSeq lists it as uncharacterized. NCBI's taxonomy places the organism in Eukaryota, Viridiplantae, Streptophyta, Magnoliopsida, Poales, Poaceae. The record is from RefSeq and is a predicted model, not a curated record. The transcript has 4 exons.
AAUUUCUUGAGGAAAACGAGGAAUUGGAUUUUGAAUACAAAGUAGUUCUACUGCAGAUUGCAGUGCCAACCAGAAGUAACGUACCUGAAUAAUUACAAGUCUGUGCAGAAAGCGGCUCGUGAAUGCGGCGUGCUAUAGUAUAAUGACCAAGAAACAUGACCACCAUCUAUGACAGUGGUGAACGGACGAAGUGGCAACAUGGAUGCGUCACUAUAUAUGUGCACAAAAUUUCAUCAUGCAUGGGCACAUUUAUUAGAUCGGAAGCUAGCAAGUCAAGUGCAUGAACUGGUUGCACGCGUAAAUGGUCGAUUCGGAACACUGAAAGCAACUCCGAUUCUACAUUUGGUUCGCCCCCCUCCCGUGAAGUACAAAGCCAAGUGUGAAGCUAUGAAGCGUAUCAAC